UACAGAAGACGCGUGUGUUCGUGCUGUCCUUUUCCCCCAUUGUAACCCACAUCACUGCCCAAAUCGGCACAAACGCUCUCCAAUCAUCGCUCACCACCGUUCUGCCCCAAAUCGACGUCGGUGACAUAACACUACAACACCACAAGCCAAGCGGUGGUUUUUUCCAGGCUAUUAGGGCUCCAACAGUAAGAAGACGGAGGCGGCGCGAGGCACCCGUUUAACACCGACAAGAAUUUUGGUAAGCCGAGCUUCUAUUGUAUGUUUCUUUUUUAGUUAGAUCGGUUUUCAUUGUUUCCGUUUAAGCUAUUUUUUGUGUUACAACUCCGGUGAAGAUCCGGCGAGUUAUCCAGUGACCAGUCUCCUGGUUGUUAUGUAAGUUUGAUAUGUUGUUUGCUAUGUUCCUCCUUGUUUAAACACAAAUAUAAUCAUAAACAAUUAAGCCCACAAAUAUACAAAUGCAAUAAAAUUUAAGCCCAUGUUAAAUCACGAAUUGUUUAAGCUAUUUUAAAUUUAAUAUAGAGGUGUGAAAUCGAGUUUUUCUAAUACCCAGUUUCAGGUAUGAAACUGGAUUCGGAUAUGACCAGGUAUCGAUUUUUUAGGUAUUGAAAUAAACCAAGUAGGGUUCGGGGGUGCAGGUAUUGAGUAGAACUACCCAACCUUAUGUACCCGGGUAGGGUAUCAUCGGGUUCGAGUAUAACCGAUUAUUAAAACCAGGUAUGGAUUCAGGUAUUAAUACGCUUCUUUUUAAAAAGGUUUGUUUUUAUUAUUUUAUACAAAAAUAAGUUUGUUUAUAAUUUGUAAAAAUAAUUAAAAUAUAUCAUAAUAACAUAGAUUCACUCAAUUACAAUUUGUUGAUUUUAUAAUAUGCACUUUUUAAAAUUAAAAUAUCAAAGUUGUUAAAUAGACAUAAAAAUAGAUGCAGGCGAACUGGUAGUACACUACAUGCCCCGUUUGCUUCAGAACAAUUUACACAAGUGGUUACACAAGUGGUGACAAAUGGGCGUGCCCCUCUUACUAUGACACACCCAAGUACAUGUACCGUGUUGUCGCAACCAUUAAAGAUAGCACAGGCGCUACUGCUCUUGCAACUAUGUUCAACGACGCAUUUAAAGCUAUUUCAUGGUUGUCCUGAUUCCCGUCAUUCUACUAGUGGUUACUGUGUUUUUCUGGUCGACACUCUUAUUUUGUGGUCAACUAAGAGGCAACCCACUAUUUCCCGUUCUAGUGCUGAGGCAGAGUAUCGUGGGGUUGCAAAUGUUGUGGCUGAAACCACUUGGACAGGCAUCCGUAAUUUACAGUGAUAAUGUUUCGGUUGUCUACAUGUCCGAUAACCCGUUCAACAUCAACGCACGGAACAUACUGAGAUAGACAUUCAUUUUGUUCGUGAGAAGGUAUCAUUGGGCAGAUUCGUGUUCUUCAUGUACCUUCAACUCUACAGUAUGCAGAUAUUUUUACUAAGGGGCUUGCUCGCCAGCUUUUUCAGUCUUUUCGCUCCAGCUUGAGCGUCUGUCCACCGCCCGCUCAAACUACGGGGGAGUCUUAGCCGAUAUAUGUUUAUAGAAUAACAUUUAAUUUAAUAUUGUAUAGAUAGACGUGAUCUCUUGUAAUUAUAAAUGGAUUAUGUUUCCUUGUUUAGAGA
Helianthus annuus (common sunflower) is the source of this 1639-nucleotide long non-coding RNA. RefSeq lists it as uncharacterized. Lineage: Eukaryota; Viridiplantae; Streptophyta; Magnoliopsida; Asterales; Asteraceae. The record is from RefSeq and is a predicted model, not a curated record. The transcript is spliced from 3 exons.